ACUCAAAGGAAUAGACGGGGACCCGCACAAGCGGUGGAGCAUGUGGAUUAAUUCGAUACUAACCGAAGAACCUUACCCAGGCUUGACAUCGAGGGAAAGCUCCUGAAAGGGAGUCCUCGGCCACAAGCCGACCCGAAGACACUUGUUGCAUGGCUGUCGUCAGCUCGUGCCGUGAGGUGUACGGUUAAGUCCGCCAACGAGCGCAACCCUCGUCCUGUGUUACCAGCGAGUAAAGUCGGGGACUCACAGGAGACCGCCGGUGUAAGCCGGAGGAAGGUGGGGAUGACGUCAAGUCAGCAUGGCAGUUACGUCUGGGGCUUCACACAUGCUACAAUGGGCGAAACAAAGGGCAGCAACACCGCGAGGUAGAGCGAAUCUCAAAAAUACGCCCCCAGUUCAGAUUGCAGUCUGCAACUCGACUGCAUGAAGGCGGAAUCGCUAGUAAACGCAGGUCAGCUAUACUGCGUUGAAUACGUUCCCGGGUCUUGCACACACCGCCCGU
RNAcentral lists this ribosomal RNA (502 nucleotides) under uncultured bacterium. RNAcentral's name for it is "partial 16S ribosomal RNA". It matches the Rfam family "Bacterial small subunit ribosomal RNA", at positions 899 to 1397 of the family's 1533-position model. The record is from RNAcentral.